This 72-nucleotide transfer RNA is filed under the name Gemmatimonadota bacterium. Its description in RNAcentral is "Gemmatimonadetes bacterium tRNA-Gln". It matches the Rfam family "tRNA". Rfam says of the family: Transfer RNA (tRNA) molecules are approximately 80 nucleotides in length. Their secondary structure includes four short double-helical elements and three loops (D, anti-codon, and T loops). Further hydrogen bonds mediate the characteristic L-shaped molecular structure. tRNAs have two regions of fundamental functional importance: the anti-codon, which is responsible for specific mRNA codon recognition, and the 3' end, to which the tRNAs corresponding amino acid is attached (by aminoacyl-tRNA synthetases). tRNAs cope with the degeneracy of the genetic code in two manners: having more than one tRNA (with a specific anti-codon) for a particular amino acid; and 'wobble' base-pairing, i.e. permitting non-standard base-pairing at the 3rd anti-codon position. Lineage: Bacteria; Pseudomonadati; Gemmatimonadota. RNAcentral also lists the same sequence under 1 other name. The record is from RNAcentral.
GGGGAGUAGCUCAGAUGGAAGAGCGCUCGGCUCUGGACCGAGAGGUCGCCGGUUCGACCCCGGCCUCCCCUG